This 513-nucleotide ribosomal RNA is filed under the name uncultured bacterium. RNAcentral describes it as "partial 16S ribosomal RNA". It matches the Rfam family "Bacterial small subunit ribosomal RNA", at positions 28 to 507 of the family's 1533-position model. The record is from RNAcentral.
GACGAACGCUGGCGGCGUGCUUAACACAUGCAAGUCGAACGAAAAGAGGGAAAGAGCUUGCUCUUUCCGGAAUUGAGUGGCAAACGGGUGAGUAACACGUAAACAACCUGCCUUCAGGAUGGGGACAACAGACGGAAACGACUGCUAAUACCGAAUAAGUUCCAAGAGCCGCAUGGCCCAUGGAAGAAAAGGUGGCCUCUACCUGUAAGCUAUCGCCUGAAGAGGGGUUUGCGUCUGAUUAGCUGGUUGGAGGGGUAACGGCCCACCAAGGCGACGAUCAGUAGCCAGUCUGAGAGGAUGAACGGCCACACUGGAACUGAGACACGGUCCAGACUCCUACGGGAGGCAGCAGUGGGGAAUCUUCCGCAAUGGGCGAAAGCCUGACGGAGCAACGCCGCGUGAGUGAUGACGGCCUUCGGGUUGUAAAACUCUGUGAUCCGGGACGAAAAGGCAGAGUGCGAAGAACAAACUGCAUUGACGGUACCGGAAAAGCAAGCCACGGCUAACUACGUG